ACCUGGGGAGAAGACCACAGGGAUUGCCCUAGUAACGGCGAGUGAAGCGGCAACAGCUCAAAUUUGAAAUCUGGCUCUCGGGCCCGAGUUGUAAUUUGUAGAGGAUACUUUUGAUGCGGUGCCUUCCGAGUUCCCUGGAACGGGACGCCAUAGAGGGUGAGAGCCCCGUCUGGUUGGAUGCCAAAUCUCUGUAAAGUUCCUUCGACGAGUCGAGUAGUUUGGGAAUGCUGCUCUAAAUGGGAGGUAUAUGUCUUCUAAAGCUAAAUACCGGCCAGAGACCGAUAGCGCACAAGUAGAGUGAUCGAAAGAUGAAAAGCACUUUGAAAAGAGAGUUAAAAAGUACGUGAAAUUGUUGAAAGGGAAGCGUUUAUGACCAGACUUGGGCUUGGUUAAUCAUCUGGGGUUCUCCCCAGUGCACUUUUCCAGUCCAGGCCAGCAUCAGUUUUUGCCGGGGGAUAAAGACUUCGGGAAUGUGGCUCUCUUCGGGGAGUGUUAUAGCCCGUUGUGUAAUACCCUGGCGGGGACUGAGGUUCGCGCAUCUGCAAGGAUGCUGGCGUAAUGGUCAUCAACGACCCGUCUUGAAACACGGACCAAGGAGUCGUCUUCGUAUGCGAGUGUUCGGGUGUCAAACCCCUACGCGUAAUGAAAGUGAACGCAGGUGAGAGCUUCGGCGCAUCAUCGACCGAUCCUGAUGUUCUCGGAUGGAUUUGAGUAAGAGCAUACGGGGCCGGACCCGAAAGAAGGUGAACUAUGCCUGUAUAGGGUGAAGCCAGAGGAAACUCUGGUGGAGGCUCGCAGCGGUUCUGACGUGCAAAUCGAUCGUCAAAUAUGGGCAUGGGGGCGAAAGACUAAUCGAACCUUCUAGUAGCUGGUUUCCGCGA
This 881-nucleotide non-coding RNA is filed under the name Fusarium citri. RNAcentral's name for it is "sequence contains 28S rRNA gene". It matches the Rfam family "Eukaryotic large subunit ribosomal RNA", at positions 49 to 963 of the family's 3401-position model. The record is from RNAcentral. Lineage: Eukaryota; Fungi; Ascomycota; Sordariomycetes; Hypocreales; Nectriaceae.